GUGCAAAGGUAGCAUAAUCAUUAGGGAUUUAAUUGGAACCUGGAAUGAAGGGUUGGACAAAGGAAAAACUGUCUUUGUAAUAAGAGUUGAAAUUUACUUUUAAGUGAAAAGGCUUAAAUAUUUUAAGGGGACGAUAAGACCCUAUAAAACUUUAUAAAUAAUUUAAAUUUAAUUAAGUUGGAUAAUAAAAAUUAAAUUUAAUUAUUUUAUUUUGUUGGGGUGAUAUGAGUAUAAGUAUUAUUAACUGCUUAAAAGUAGUUCUGUUAUAAUAGAGUUAAUAAAUUGAAUGAUCCUUUUUAAAGAUUAUAAGACUAAGUUACUUUAGGGAUAACAGCGUUAUUUUUCUUGAGAGUUCAUAUCGAAAGAGAAGAUUGCGACCUCGAUGUUGAAUUAAAAUAUCUAUAUAAUGCAGUAGUUAUACAAGAAGGUCUGUUCGACCUUUAAAUUUUUACAUGAUUUGAGUUCAAAC
RNAcentral lists this ribosomal RNA (469 nucleotides) under Etisus utilis. RNAcentral describes it as "partial 16S ribosomal RNA". The stretch from base 327 to 469 matches the Rfam family "Bacterial large subunit ribosomal RNA", at positions 2473 to 2616 of the family's 2925-position model. Lineage: Eukaryota; Metazoa; Arthropoda; Malacostraca; Decapoda; Xanthidae. The record is from RNAcentral.